AGAAGGAUAACAUGACAUAGCAGGAAUAAUACUGCCUUUUCUUUCUGGCAUGGAUCAAGAGAAAAGAAAAUACAAGAAAACAGACAGAAGCAAGGCAAGGUACUUCUAUGGAAGGGUGAGCCCUCACAGAUGGAGCAAUGGGGCGCGCACACCUGAACAAGGGAGGGGAAGGAGUUCUUAUCCCUGAUGCAUGUGACCCCUGCUGCUGUGUCCUUCCCCUAUUGGCUAAGGCUUCUGACAGCUUUGGAGAUUGUGACAUUGGAAUAAAGGAAAAACGUACAGGACUCAUGAAGCGCUGAAAUGUUCACAAAUAUCAAGCAAAAGUCAAUGAAAUUUAUUUUGAGCUAUUUACAUCAUUUAAUAAUUGAGCAAGGUAUACUCCUAUGAACAAAAUUUGGAGCAUGUUUGUCUCUCUCUGCCUGGCGUCUUCAGAAUUUGGAAACUAGUUAGUCAUGGAAAUUUAUUUUGAGCUAUUUACAGCAUUUAAUAAUUGAGCAAGGUAUACUCCUAUGAACAAAAUUUGGAGCAUGUUUGUCUCUCUCUGUCUGCCUGGCAUCUACAGAAUUUGGAAACUAGUUAUUUCCUAAACUUUCCAGAGAAAAUGGUCUUCUCCCUGGCUCAGCAAGAAGAUGAACUUUAAACACUGAGAAACUGGUCAUCUCCCUGGCUCAACCAGAAGAUGAACUUUAAACACUACUCUCAAUGACUUGAUGUUCCCAUCACUACUCCUGUCAUAAAGGGAGGGGACUCAGAUAUUGAGAAUUUUAUGAUAGUGUGAACUGUCUGGUAUGUCAUUUAAGUAAGCCCGUUGCUGAAAUAUUUUCCAUGUUAUUAGAAAGAGCUGAAGAGAGGGAUUGAGAUGGCUUCUUUAUUUUUUGUCUUUUGGGAAUUAAAGGAACCUGGUUCAACAAGGGCCUACACCUAAGUCUCUUGUUGUACCAGAGUACAAUUUAGGACUGCUCCUGAGGAAGGAAUUAGCUAGAAAUCUAGAGAGUAAGGGUAACAGAUUUACAUAGAAUAACAGCCUCAGUAUUUUUGGUUCCUCUCCAGUAAAGAUCACAAAGAAUAUUGCUAAAUCGCUAAAACACCUUUGCAAUAACGUAAGGGCUUACAACUAUAUACCAAUGUAGCUCAGUUACUAAACUGGAGUAAACUAAUUUCUCUUGUGUAGAAAAAUUGGUUGGCUGUGGUUUUAUAGCAGAUCUGCAAUUAUUAAUAGUUAUGCCAAUAAUCGUUUAACAGUGCAUAUGUUAAUAUAUAUGGAAAGACAAUGUGUAUAGACAGAUGUGUAAAAUUGAAAAAUAAACAUAUAACAAGAGAGAAACAUCUAUCGAACAGACAAUAUACAUACACAUCAAACACAACAGCAGUUUUAGUGACCAUAAUAUUUAUUUCUCAUUUUUACAUUGCUUACUUUAGUGACAACUGAAAAUGACAGUUGGCAAUGCAGCUAACAGUUUCAAUAAAAGUAUAAAACAAAA
Molecule: long non-coding RNA, 1481 nt
Filed under: Homo sapiens (human)
Lineage: Eukaryota; Metazoa; Chordata; Mammalia; Primates; Hominidae
Description: long intergenic non-protein coding RNA 320
Source: RNAcentral